CGCCUCUUGAUAAAUUAUAAGAGGUCUAGCCUGCCCAGUGACAUCGUUAAACGGCCGCGGUAUCCUGACCGUGCGAAGGUAGCAUAAUCACUUGUUCUUUAAAUAAGGACUAGUAUCAACGGCAUCACGAGGGUUAUACUGUCUCCUCUCUCCAAUCAGUGAAACUGAUCUCCCCGUGAAGAAGCGGGGAUAAAUAUAUAAGACGAGAAGACCCCAUGGAGCUUUAAACUUAACAACAACUCCCCACCCACAAUUCUUAUUACUGUAGGAGACCUGUUUGUUAGUUUUAGGUUGGGGUGACCGCGGAGAAAAACUAAACCUCCACGACGAACGGAAUUAACUCCUAAUCCAAGAGCUACCGCUCCAAGAAUCAAUAAAUUGACAUAAAAUGAUCCGAUAAUCGAUCAACGGACCAAGUUACCCUGGGGAUAACAGCGCAAUCCAUUUCAAGAGCUCCUAUCGACAAAUGGGUUUACGACCUCGAUGUUGGAUCAGGGUAUCCCAGUGGUGCAGCCGCUACUAAAGGUUUGUUUGUUCAACAAUUAAAACCCUACGUGAUCU
RNAcentral lists this ribosomal RNA (561 nucleotides) under Nanorana sp. VV5.1_RAS. RNAcentral describes it as "partial large subunit ribosomal RNA". It matches the Rfam family "Bacterial large subunit ribosomal RNA", at positions 1829 to 2606 of the family's 2925-position model. The record is from RNAcentral. Lineage: Eukaryota; Metazoa; Chordata; Amphibia; Anura; Dicroglossidae.